This 253-nucleotide ribosomal RNA is filed under the name uncultured Bacteroides sp. Its description in RNAcentral is "partial 16S ribosomal RNA". It matches the Rfam family "Bacterial small subunit ribosomal RNA", at positions 524 to 776 of the family's 1533-position model. Lineage: Bacteria; Pseudomonadati; Bacteroidota; Bacteroidia; Bacteroidales; Bacteroidaceae. The record is from RNAcentral.
UACGGAGGAUCCGAGCGUUAUCCGGAUUUAUUGGGUUUAAAGGGAGCGUAGGUGGAUUGUUAAGUCAGUUGUGAAAGUUUGCGGCUCAACCGUAAAAUUGCAGUUGAAACUGGCAGUCUUGAGUACAGUAGAGGUGGGCGGAAUUCGUGGUGUAGCGGUGAAAUGCUUAGAUAUCACGAAGAACUCCGAUUGCGAAGGCAGCAUACCGGCGCGCAACUGACGCUCAUGCACGAAAGCGUGGGGAGCAAACAGG